CCCAAGUUUAACUACAAGCAUUUCCUGAUCUACCGAAGACGGGCAGAAAAAAGGAAAAAUGUCGACUUGAGAAAAGCACAGCUUCCAAUCCCCACCCACCAGCUUCAGUCAAAGGGAUGACUUCAGUCCCUUUCUUAACUAAUCCUGUCACUGUAAAAUCCUACAGUCAUUCUUCCACACAUAAAGGGAAAACGGACUCACUAGGAGGACCUAGACUCUUUCAGCUUGAACUGUUAACCAAUGGUGGAAAUGCAAGAAUGCUGAAGUUGUGCCUUCAGAGCCAAUAGAGUGGAUUUGUGUGUCCCACAUGACUGUGUUUCCCCUGUCUUUCACAUGGGCAGUAUUUAGUUCAAUUCAGAACUGCAGAUAGUAUAGCACGCAGAGCAGCAAUGGGAUGUCUGAGCACAAGUGGCUGACUUCCAGGCGACUUCAAGAAGCACAUUUGCACAUUUAUCCUGAAUUAAACUGGAAUUCUGCACCCUUGACAUCCUCCUACUCUCCUGGUGUCUGCGGAAGGAAACAGCGACCUGCACAGCACAACAAAACUACAAAUCAUCAGUGAUCUACAGACAAGCAAACGAAGUGAGCUGAGGGCAAUUUAACUACCGCCUUCUGUGUCAGUUCCCCAGAAGUCAAUGAGGCAUACUAUCGGGUCUCCAAGAAAGACAUGUGAGAAGCUGCCAGCUCCAUGCAUGAAGAAGGAAAUGGGAUAGACAGAGAAGGGUGCUGGUACUGACAUUUAAGGAUGCUGUCAAGUCAAUGGAGUUCUCUUGUAGUGGUUGCUUCAGUGAACAUUCAACGCUGUCGGCCUUCACACCGAAGAUAGAAACCUAACCAGCACAUGAGGUUUCUCCCCUACUCUGCCACGCUUUACAAAAAAGGUCACAAUCAACAUUCAUUGCUGUCGGUGGGUUUAACUAUGUGGACAAGCUCACUGAACAAUGAAUGCAACUGUGGCCCCACAUUUUACAGGUGCAUUUGGGAGGAAUGUCAGCUCUGAAAGGAAUAGUGAGAAACAGACAUUUCUUAUAGGUUACGUUUUUCUGGUCAAAAAUUUGUUAAGGAUAUUCAAUUAACUCUUCUUUGUUAUUAAAUGUAUUUAACUAUGUUGACUAAAAAAAAAAAGCACUGCAUUUUUCUGGAAUAUCACCCUCACAGGGUUCAGCACCUCUGAAACUGAAAUAAUGCUUGUUCAGUAUGUAUGUGGAAAAAAGUAAUAAUAUAGAGAACUUGGUAUAUAUGUACUCCUCAGGACUACGCAUAAGAGGAAAGAGUAUUUAAAUGUUAAAUCUUAAUUAACUAGGUAUUAUGGAAUAGUUUACAGAAGUCUCUUCUAUACUUGUCAAGACAAAACCAGAACUUUUCUAGUGGACAGGUAACAGAAAUAGAUGUAUACCCACUAUCAAAUAGUUAAAUCGUAAAAUUACUCUAAACUUCGGUACUUGUGUCACACUCAGUAUUGCUAACACUAAUGAAAAAAUAAAAGUGUAAUUAAAGCUCACUGUUCUGUCCUUAUUUUCUUACAACCUUUGUUUAACCCAGCUGGAAAAAACAGAGCCCAGCCUACAUUUCUACCUUUCAGAAGUCAUCCAAGGUAAGUGCAAGCCUUCACACAGCACAGUUUCAAUAUUCCGCAGUAGAGUUGCUUCUAACAUUUAGGAAAUCACACGACGUUCCUAGUUUCUCCUGAUAGACCCUCUUAAAAGCUGGGGUCUGUUAACAAUACUUCAGUUUGAUUAUCUACACAGUAACUGGAAUAGGAUACAACCAUCAGGGCUAUCAUGGGAGGAAACAUCUGUACCUGCUUUGUGAACCGUAUAUUAACAGCCUAGCUAAAUAAUAACAGUUUAAGUAAUCAAAGAGAUCAGUCCUCAAUCACAUGCAAGAUUAUAUUUGAAUAACUGAAUUUUUAAUGAAAAGAGAGGCACACUACUGAAUUAAAAUCAAUGGCUGAAAGAAGUGCGUUGUUUUUUUCAUUCUGAUAUUUACUACCAAAUAAUCUACAGAAUGUACUGAGGCCAGGGGCAGCAGUUAAGUACUAAUAGGAGGAGUGGCUAUGGAUACGUGACUUCUCAGCGACACUGCAUAGAGAACCCUAGGUUCUAUCUUAAAGUUCACUCGUUUCUACACAGCAAUGAGUACUUGAAUAACUAUCAAAUUAUAUAUAUGGAUCACAAUACAAGCAAGUUAUAUAUUCUAUCUAGAAGGACAAACUUACAUGUUCAGUUGCAGCUACUUCAUACUUGCCUAAUUUCUGCAUUUAUUACUUUUACUAACGUGACUUAAUUGUGUUAUGCAUUAAUAAACACUGAAGAUGUUACUGAAGUUUGUGGAAUUAAGCAGCAGUGGAAAGAACCAGCAUCCUAGCAUGUUAUCACCUUCAAGCACAACAGAAGAAAAUACAAAAAUAAACCAUACUGCAACUGAUAAUGGUUGAACAAUACAAUUGUUGUAGGGACACAGGAUCCAGUGCAAGAAAAAGGUUAGUUAUAGGGUAGGGGGGAAGGUGAGGGGUUGAUGGCACUCUCUCAAAAUGCACAGAUGUUUUACCUUUUAGAAAAUAUCUACAGUAAUAUUGUUGCCUUGCGUAAGUUGUGUCAGUGAUUUUAAUCAUAGAAUCGCUAAGGUUGGAAAAGACCCACAGGAUCAUCCAGUCCAACCAUUCGCCCUUCACCAAUGGUUCUCACUAAACCAUGUCCCUCAACACAACAUCCAAUCACUCUUUGAACACCACCAGGGUCGGUGACUCCACCACCUCUCUGGGCAGCCCAUUCCAGUGCCUGACCACCCUUUCAGAGAAGUAGUAUUUCCUAACGUCCAGCCUGAACCUUCCAUGGCGCAGCUUAAAGCCAUUGAAGCCAUAAUCACGCUUUCAUAUCAAGAUUAAGAAUCUCCAUAGUGUACAAAUACACAUUAUUUCAUACAGUUUGAUAAUUUUAUAUCUCCAUUAAUUUACAGGAUGCUCAUGGGCAAAGCAAUACCACACCUGAUAAGAGAGACUGCUUUUCACACACAUCCUUUACAUAAUGAAGCAAAAGUGAUCCCCAUUCAGCAACAGUAGCUGUGAAACUGAAGUUCCUUGGUCAUUUUCAGGGUUGUUAGUUUUUUUUUUUGUUGUUGUUGUUGUUAAUAUGAUACAUCCAUGCUCAAUACAGUAUCCGUGGGCUACAGAGACCUUCCAGAAAAUUGCUCCUUGGUAUCACUGUAAAUAAUUCACUCACAACAAUAUUUUUAGGUCAAGCAUAUCAAAAUUACAGGAAAUGUAAUGGACCUUGACAUAAUAGGAGCACUAGUUUCAAAGCAGUGAAGGAGGAGGAGAAGGAACAUACUUUCCACACACAGCUCAGUCACAGUUUCCCAGUGUCCACAAUACUGUGCUUGAAACAGGAGAGGCAGUACCAAGUGGUUGCUGCUAAGUUUGGAGUCACUGAGGUUUUACUUAACUCCAGACAUAGUUCUGUUUUUCCUGACUUCUGGAGCAAAAUGGGUGAAAGCAGUUCAGAUCCAGCAGUUUCUGCGUCAAGCCUCUAACUCCUGUUUACCAAGCACAGAAAGACAUUCCACCUUACCUUUCAAACUACAACACAAUGAAUACCUAUGAAAACCAUACGUGAUUCAGGACUACAGCAAAAUGAAAACAUUACACUGUCCAGAGCAGACUAAAAACACCACAAUAACAUUUCUUGCUUUACAGAUGGUAAAGAGAAGAAAUACAGUAGAAGUUAAAUAUAGAAAUAGUUUGUAUCUGUAUGUAGUAGUCUGAACUGGAAGUAGUAUCUAGAUCUUGCAUUCGAGCCAUGCGUCUUACACUGGAAGAAGGAGUAUUGUAAUUUUGACAUGAAAACCGUAUUUUCCUUCUUGCUGAUCGCCCCUUUUUCCUAAUCAAAUGAUAUUUAUUUUUUCUCUCUAGAGUUAUCAUCCACUCCAGAUUAAUAUCUGUAUCUUGCCCUCACUUUCUUCUAUUCUUCUGUAUAAUUCUCUUAACUUCUUCAAAAAAAAAUUAGUCUUCCUGAGCUUCCUCUUUUAGCACAAGUGCCAGAAAUGCAGACUGUGUUCCAAAUAGCCCAGCCAAAGCUAGCUGAAGUAGUCUGAUGUCUCCCUAUUUUACAAGGAACUGCUGAUCAUUUUCAGCCAAAAAUAGCAUUUGUAAUGGCACCACACAGUUAACACAUUUAAAUUUAUCUAACUUUAUUCCACAGAUAUAUUAGUGUCCACAAGUUUUUUCCUAAUUUGAAGUAGGUUAUUUCAUCCCCCUGAAAUGCAACACUUGCCAUUUUUUUUUUAUCUAUUACGUAAUUUCUGCAACAUCCAUUGAUUACAGCAUCGUGGUCAUAUUUUCACAGGAAUUAAUUAGAGACUUCUUGUAGGUUUACAUCUGAAAAAAAUACAUCUGAAAAAAUAUAAGGAAAGAUCCAGGGGUAGGAGCUCCAACCCACAGAAGCCAUGAAUUACAACAGAAAUUUUGUCUAUACUUGACAAGUAAAUCAGAACUGAAUCCCCUAGCUCUGCAGCCAGAGCCAGAACACGCAUAUACAACACAUAGACUUUUCCUGGUUUUGUUCCAUGAGAUACAGUAGCGCCCAAGCUAGCCCUAGUAUUUUUUUUAUUGUUUUAAUAAAAGAAUUACCUAUCAAGUUUGUAAAUAGGCUAUCAUGAGACCUGAAAGUGUAACUUAUUGUGCAGUGUUUUUUUGUUUGUUUGUUUUCAUUAUUCUCUAUUAGAAAUGUUACUCUAGGUCUUGACAAUGAAAAGACAAGUCCAAAACGGACCAGAUACCGCAGUUGUAUGAUACCACAGUUCAGAACAGAACUGGCAAAGAGGCAAGGUACCUGGAAAAUAGCAUUCUCUUGGCCAUUAAGAUAGGAGAACUUGCACUCAAAAUAAACUGCAGUAUAUAUACGCUAUUUAAACUGUGAUAUCACCUGUAAUUAAUGGCAAGCUACUGCAAUAAUCACAUGCUAUUAAGCUAUUUGAUUGCCUGGAAAUGCUAUUUAGUAAUUAAACAGUUAAAAUACUUUAUCAUAGACUUUUUGAAACACUGAAGCAAAAAAAAAGAUACACAAAUAUUAAUUUUAGCUAGCAGGAGAUGAGUCCAGGUGGUUGCCCUCUAAAGUCAACAUCACCAUCUGAUGUGUAAAACACUCCUAAUUAACAUAAAGUACACCCUGUGCUAAUUAUUGUGCUCGCCUCCAAAUAAUGAGCCAUAACAAGCCUAGAGUUCAAGAUGAUAUAUUUACAUUUAAAUGCCAUGCACUUCACCAUCCUGUAUCAAUAUGGCCCUGGUUAACACACUGACAAAAAAAUGAAAUUACUGCCCCCACCGCCCUGCAGACUAGGGAAGCACAAACAGCUAAACAGAUACUAGAACUAAAAGAACUUUCAGACAGACCUUCAGGUUGUAAUUGUGGAAGGCAACAGGGAAAAGCAGUGCUUCAAAGAUAGUGGCCAGCUGUGGUCUACAGAACAUCGUAAGCAAAGUGGAGUCUCUUCAGGAAGAUAUCCAUACAUCUCCAAAACAAUUUCGGGAGAAUAUUCCAGAAGUUCACAUGGAUUGUGGUUUGCUAACUAGUGAAUUCAGGUUCUCCGCUGGUUUUAGUCAGCAUACUUUUGAUUUCAGUGGAAUUACACCACUAUAUACAGUGUGAGGGUUUGACAAACAAACAUGCAAGGGAUAUAAAAGCAGCACAGUCCUGCACAUCCUACACUAGAAAUGCAGUCAGAGGUAAAAGUCACUCUUUGGAAGAAGGGAGGGAAGCAAAAGAACAGAUAUUUGAAAAGCAAUCACUCCUACCUACAGAAAGAGCAUUUCUACCUGCUGUGGGUGGUCGUGGACACAGCACUCGGACACCUAACUCCUCCAUUCUUGCAGGUUACAGUUUUGCAGGUACAAAUACAGAAUUUCAAAACACAACAUGCAUAGAGUAUUUUGGGGCAGAAAUAUAACACCCACGUUAUGAUAAUUUGGCCUUUGCCACCACAUGACGGUCUCCUUCACUUCAUGUAUCUUGAGGUACGUGGGUGGCAAAGAACUGACAGCAUAUUUUUGUCUAAAGAUGGCUCCCACAGCACGAGUGUACAUACUGGAAGCAAUGGCAGUUUGUUUCCUUCCUCCCUUAACACUGUGCUCUUUACUUGAGUUUCCAUCAUUUCUAUACAGAGCUAGUAACACUAAACCAUUCACCGAGGAGAGGGUUAAAAAAAGCCAAAGCAAAAAAAAAAAAAAAAAAUCACCGAGUCUUCAAAUUAUUCUCUGUCACAAUAUCCAGAUUUUAUGAAUCCUGAACCAUCUCCUCAGGGUGCCUAGCAGCACCUUUCUCUGGCCUAGAACUAAGCUCUGACUUCAGAUUUGUAUCAGCCUUUACAAGAGACGAUCAUUUUCAGCAAAGUUUCAGGCACUGCAGAUUUAUGUACAAAGACUUCUAACUGCUGCCUGGAUGUGCCUUCUGGAACCAGAAAACACACAUCAAGAGUAAGAUGAGCAAGCCACAGGUUUGUUCAAAUGAAUACCAAAAACUGACUGUUAAGAGUCAAUUAAAAAAAAAUACUGAAAAUAUUGAACUUUUCUCUGCUUCCUCUGUAUUGCUAUUCCAACUAGAUCCUACACCACCCAUCCUAUCAACAUCUUCAUGGAUGCACACAGGUAGCUAAGACACUCCAUAUCUUAAAAAGAAAACCUAGAGGUUUUCUUUCUCCUUAAAGAGACUUAUCUGUGUGGAAACCUCACUUCUUUAAACCUUGUACUGAGAUUCUGGGGAGUGCUACUGCAUCUAUUGCUAAUAAUCCAAGCCUGUGGCAUGCAUACCCACAAGGGUAUUUUUAGCUAGAUUCUAGGUGCAUACCUUUGCAACUGAUUUCGAGUUCCAUUAACAUCUAGAACUAGUGGCUCUUCUCUACUUUGAUGAGGAAAAUAAACUAUGUUCCAGCUGAAAGCGGGACUUGGAUCCCCAAAUCAAUAAGACUACAUUAGUAGUUUGUCACAUUGGAGCCCAUAGGGCACUUGUGCUCACUAUUCUCCAAACAAGAUGAAGUUUUAACAGGCUCACCUAAUUUGUUGAGCAAUAUAGUUGGAAUCCCUGCAUUGUGAAUAAAAGAAACUGGUAGGUUGCUAGGCUGAUGACAGGUCGUACAGCCUUUUCUUGACAGAAGAUACAACAGUCAACAGUGUACAACUGAACCUGUACAGAGCCUGUACAGCCUGUUACAGAGCCUGUAACUUCCAAGCACAAAACACCGCAAUAUGUGCUUAAAAGCACAAAAAGGGUUUAUGUUCACUUCUAAAUUGUUGGCUGCUACAUGUUGUCAUCUCUUUUUAAAGGUUGCUCACUAGCUGCAUUCCAAGUUUUCACAUAUGUAUGAUUUCCUUCAGCUACAAGUGUAAAUUUGCAAGCAAUGGGAACAUGAGUGCAGUCACUGUCUGAUGGAAUCUGCAUAGAAGGUAAAGCUGUCACCAGAUGGCAUUUCUGAGUUUUGUGCAGCCAGAUAUUCAAAAGCAGCAUCUGAAUUCUGGAUGCUACACUGUUGUUUUUGUGGGGUUUUUUUGUUUGUUUGUUGUUGUUUUAAUUUAUUGUGGAUACUCUGAAUCAGCAUCUGCUCCUGCAAUUAUC
RNAcentral lists this long non-coding RNA (7604 nucleotides) under Gallus gallus (chicken). RNAcentral's name for it is "lncRNA (ENSGALG00010014698.1)". The stretch from base 880 to 961 matches the Rfam family "mir-181 microRNA precursor family". The record is from RNAcentral. Lineage: Eukaryota; Metazoa; Chordata; Aves; Galliformes; Phasianidae.